UGAGGAUAAUACUGUUGAAAGAUUUCAUUGUGGUGCCUUUGGACUCCCUGCGUUGCAUGGCUUCUUUGAUCUUGGCUUCUAGCUUUGUCUCUGGUACCCAUUCUUGAGCUUCAGAUUUCGUCACCGCACUUCCCAUGUCUCUCUCGUGCUUCGGAGAUCAAAAUCUAGUUUCUUGUAAGACAAGGAGAAAGAAGAUUCCAUGUUUGAGAAGAAGAAUAUAAUUGAAAUGAGUUUUGUAAUGCCCUGGCCGUGAAGAACGCUGAAGAUUACACGUACUUGCGGAUAUUUAUAAAACGCUUAUUCAUUCGUCAUCAAUUAAUAUUUUAACAUUCUAUUCUUGACUUUCUGAACAUUUUUAAUUUACAAUAAUGAAAUGUUAUUAGUUUGUUGUAAAAAAAAAAAGAAAAAGACAUGUUAUUAGUUUUGACCAAAGAAAUGGUAUUACUUACCACUAAUAUUUAACUAUUAUAUGAUUAAUCUUUUGGCGAAAUUGGAAUUAGUUUAAAACAAUGGUAUUAGUUUUGACCAAAGAAAUGAUAUUACUUACCUCUAAUUUUGACUAUUAACUCGUGUGUUUUUCUAAUUAAUAGGAUUAGCUUAACAUUUACCAUAUAUGAUAAUUAAAUGAUUCAAUUGAUGGAAUUUGGUAUGACAUUAUACAAUCGAUGAUAAAUGAAUUAGUUUAAAACAAUGGUAUUAGUUUUGACCAAAGAAAUGAUAUUACUUACCUCUAAUUUUUGACUAUUAACUCGUGUGUUUUUCUAAUUAAUAGGAUUAGCUUAACAUUUACCAUACAUGAUAAAUGAUUCAAUUGAUGGAAUUUGGUAUGACAUUAUACAAUCGAAGAAGUUUGUUUUCACGUCUUUCUUUUAGAAUAUAUUAAUUUGGACUUAUAAGUACGAUCAUCACUCCUAAGAUGCCAUAACUAGUAAAAUAUGUGUGAGUAUAAAUGAAUAAUGAAAACUCUGAAUCAUAUGUACACACUACAAAUUAAUGCUCUCAUUAGCAUAUUUUUAUCUUUAGAACUGUACCUUGUAAAAAUAAGCUAUAAACAAAAGAUACACAAGUAUUUAUACAUGAAAAAAUUCACUUCCAUACAAACAUAUAGUCACUAAAUGUGUCAAUGAAUGUCCAAAUCAAUAGUAAGCUAAUCAUAGGUGCAUACAUAAGUCGUGUUGUAUGUUUUAUAGUUUUCUCCUAACUUGAAUUUAUUUAAUUAUUAUAUAUAUAACAUGGAAUUUUGAACCUUUAUGCUACAAGAAAUUUAUAGAUCAACUUAGUAAUGAAAAAGUGAAAGAAGAUGUCAGGAUUAAAAAAUAAAAAAAAACACAAAAACAAAACAAUCUCUUCCCCUUUCUAUAAUCAUCACGUUUAAGUAUAAAAGAUCACUUUUGAGGAAUGAAGUAGUUUCUUUGUUUGUUUUAUAUCAUCUUGCUGGGAACAAAUGUUACUCUAAAGUAAACUCUUUCAACUUAUUAGCACUUUGUACAGUUAAAAUAAUUAUCAUAUGGAUUUAUGUUACAAUCUUUAAAUAUUAAAUAUUUCUUUGAUGAUCCAUAUAACAUUCUAAUAUGUAUCACUGCACCCAAUUUAAAUUGUGAACAUUCUUAGCAUUUUACAUCUAAAAAAGAAUCAAUCACAAUACAUAAAUUGUGCACAAAAACACAAUACAUAAAUAUUAGUUAAAAUAUUUUUUAACUUAAAGAUAACAACAAAACAAACUCUGUUGAAUCCCUUCAUUAAUUGUAUUAUUCAUACUUUUAACUGUGAGACCCAAGAGUGUCUAAGCUUGUGGAAUCCACAUGUUUUCGGUGGGUUUUGAAAAUCGAAAAUGGUCUUUAUAGGCAAGACAGUAAUCUUCUUAGUGCUCUUGGGAUUUGUAUGAUUUUGUAAUGCAAUGCAGAUGAUACUCCUUUUAAGGACUGCGUCUUGAUUAACUCUCACAAAUAAAAUUUGACACAAAAAAAGACAAUGAACAGUUAUAUUUUUACAAUUUCAAAUUUACUUAUUUUGCAGAUCUAUAAAGUUUGUCUCCAAUGGAUAUUACACUAGUAGAAAAUACUUUAUCAUAAGUUUGUUUGAAAGUGUUUUCAUCUCAAAAUGGAAGGGAUCUUUUGAAAUGAUUAGAUAUUUGUCUAGUAAGGUAUGUUUUUUCUUUUUAUAGUUUUGGUUGUUUAUAUUUAAUUAUUUAAUUAAUCUUGACGUUUUUUUAACAAUUACAACCGUUUACAUUUUGAAGAAAUUAAUAUCUGAUAUGUUCUUUGUCUUUCCGUUGUUUGGUUUCACCAUAACUCUUUUCUUAAAGUUUUUUAUUUAGUUUUUAACCUUUUGUUUCAUGGAGGUAAAACUAUUUUUCCUUCUGAUAGCAUUAUUGGUGACUCUCUCAUCUUCAAAUUCCUUAUCAAGUAUGUUUUAUGUGUUCUCUAUUUUCCCUCAAAUUUGUUUUAGAGAUAACAGUGAUAAUCUGUUGUGUUUGCUUACUGUAGAUAUUGUGUUCAAAUCUCAAACAUCGAUUAGUGGAAGGAACUUACUUAAUGCCAAAAAACGUAUGUAUAUUGAGAAAACGUUUUGAUCCACUGAAUAUGUUGGUUAGAUCUGAUGAUUUACUGCUAGUUUCUAUUAUAUAUAUAUGUAAGUGUGUAUAUAUAUACUCAUCUACAUCUUUUUGAUAACAUAAGAACAUAGUUAUCGGGUCGAGAAUUCUUAAAAAAAUAAAUUUUAAUAUUUUAAAAUACAUAUUAUUUACAAUAGGACAUGUAUUUCACAAGAUUAGUGUUAUAUAUUCAUUUUGUGACAACUACAAGAGCAAAUUCUCAAAAACUUGUAGUAUUUUUACGAAAAAAUGCUUUCUUUCUCUUUUUAUUUAUAUUUAUUUAUUUAGUCUUGAGAAUUUUGGUGAAAGACCACCAAUGUAGAUGCUCUAACCAAUUUAAAACCAGAGUUAUUAACAAAGAAAAAAGAAUACAAAAGCAAAUAUGCUUUUAGUUGAAUUUGUUUUCAAGAGCUAGUACUUUUAUCACUUUUAAAUGUUAAUGUAUAUUGAAGUCUUUUUGUUUGGUCUAUGUAUAGCUUGGCUUGGUGAGGACUAUGACAUAAAUAGUGAACAUUGUACACUUUUUUUGUUUGUGUUGGGAACAGAAUGUGAAGUGGACUUUGAGAGUAAAAACUACACGGAUCUAACGAGACAGUGUAGAGGUCCGACGUAUCCAGCGACAGAAUGUUGCGCGGCGUUUAAACAGUUUGCAUGCCCUUACGCACAUCAAAUCAACGACUUGAAUACUGACUGUGCCAAGGUAAUGUUCAGCUACAUCACCGUUCAUGGUAACUAUCCACUUGGCCUUUUCGCCAGCGAGUGCAAAGAAACGAAAGUGGGACUCGUUUGCCCUUCUCCACCUCGCGUUUCAGCCGCUCCUCAUUACAUCACGCUGGUGGUCUCUGCCGCAACCGCCGUGUUGGCUUUUCUAGUGUUGGUUUAGCGUGUUAACAAUGAAAAGUAGUAUCAUUCCAACAAAAUAAACUUAUCUUUUGAUUCUGUAACCAUAAAUGUUAACAAGAACUGUGUAAAGCCAAAAGAAAUGAACAGAGUUUGAUAAAAAUAACCAAAAGGGUCAUGUUCAUGUGGGUAUAGCAAUAUCAGAAGACUCUGGUAACAAUUAAGACAUGAACACCGAAACUACUGUUGGAAGCAACACUGACUGUAUAAGGAAACAUGAAGUGAUCUUACAUGCUCUCUUGUUGAUGGUUCCAGUGGUUUCAAGCAUAGACCUUGUUUCUUCAAGCUUGAUUCUCCAGCUUUUCAACGUUGCUCACCAGGGUUAUAAUCUCUGAGAGAGGUGAGCUUAUGUCAUUGGCUCCUUCGUGAUGUUGUGGUAUCGGUUCCUUUCCGAUCUCCCGGAAUUGCUGAAUUGCAUAGGGAGUCGCAUUAGGUUUGAUACGCAUUCAUGUUUAUCAUGUUAUAUAUCGUUUAAACACAUGCGUAUAAAUAUCAAGCCACUGGGCUUGCGGUUUUAUUACUUACAUGUAAGAAAAUGUUGGGGGUGAAUGAUUCAACUACACCUAAAAGGCUAAAAGAAAGGACAUGCAUCAAUAACAAACACAGAAUUACAAGGCCACAACCAUAACACACACUAAUGUCGUUUUUAAUCUUACAUCUGAGAGGGAUUAGGACAAAUGCAAUGGCUACACACUCCAGUACAUAGACAUGUAUAUCAUAAUAAUAA
Brassica rapa (field mustard) is the source of this 4220-nucleotide long non-coding RNA. RefSeq lists it as uncharacterized. NCBI's taxonomy places the organism in Eukaryota, Viridiplantae, Streptophyta, Magnoliopsida, Brassicales, Brassicaceae. The record is from RefSeq and is a predicted model, not a curated record.